RNAcentral lists this long non-coding RNA (417 nucleotides) under Vulpes vulpes (red fox). Its description in RNAcentral is "lncRNA (ENSVVUG00000003955.1)". Lineage: Eukaryota; Metazoa; Chordata; Mammalia; Carnivora; Canidae. The record is from RNAcentral.
GUGCUCCAUAUUAAGAUUUUAUUUUCGGAGAUUAUUUUUCUCUCAUUUUGUAGCAGAGAAGCUGAGAACCCUGGUAUUCAAAGAGAGGAAGUGCUGCGUUGUCUCAGGAGCCAGCAUGAGAUGCUGCACCUAUGCUUCGACCUGUCACUGGUCGCAUUCCUUUCCUUAAGAGAAGAAUGGGAACUGAGUGCCGGGACUCUGUGUUAGCUCCUUCUACCUACAAGCUUGGGACACGAUGAACAAGGACCAACUCUGCAUCUCAGUGAGUUUCAGGCAAUGUGUUAUUUGGGCCUGAAGUGAUCCUGGGUCUUGCCCCUACCGACUAAUAUAUACAAUCCCUUGAAAAAAUUUGGUUCACGAGUCACAGGCCAGCCUCCACAAUGAGAAGUAGAACUGGCAUCGACACUUAUGUUAACA